This 465-nucleotide ribosomal RNA is filed under the name Vreelandella stevensii. RNAcentral describes it as "partial 16S ribosomal RNA". It matches the Rfam family "Bacterial small subunit ribosomal RNA", at positions 338 to 795 of the family's 1533-position model. Lineage: Bacteria; Pseudomonadati; Pseudomonadota; Gammaproteobacteria; Oceanospirillales; Halomonadaceae. The record is from RNAcentral.
CCUACGGGAGGCAGCAGUGGGGAAUAUUGGACAAUGGGGGGAACCCUGAUCCAGCCAUGCCGCGUGUGUGAAGAAGGCCCUCGGGUUGUAAAGCACUUUCAGUGAGGAAGAACGCCUGGUGGUUAAUACCCAUCAGGAAAGACAUCACUCACAGAAGAAGCACCGGCUAACUCCGUGCCAGCAGCCGCGGUAAUACGGAGGGUGCGAGCGUUAAUCGGAAUUACUGGGCGUAAAGCGCGCGUAGGUGGCUUGAUAAGCCGGUUGUGAAAGCCCCGGGCUCAACCUGGGAACGGCAUCCGGAACUGUCAAGCUAGAGUGCAGGAGAGGAAGGUAGAAUUCCCGGUGUAGCGGUGAAAUGCGUAGAGAUCGGGAGGAAUACCAGUGGCGAAGGUGGCCUUCUGGACUGACACUGACACUGAGGUGCGAAAGCGUGGGUAGCAAACAGGAUUAGAUACCCCGGUAGUC